CCUACGGGUGGCAGCAGUGGGGGAUAUUGCACAAUGGGGGGAACCCUGAUGCAGCGACGCCGCGUGGGUGAAGGAGUACUUCGGUAUGUAAAGCCCUAUCGGCAGGGAAGAAUUUAGCCGGUACCUGACUAAGCAGCCCCGGCUCACUACGUGGCAGCAGCCGCGGUAAUCCGUAGGGGGCAAGCGUUAUCCGGAUUCACUGGGUGUAAAGGGAGCGUAGACGGCCAGGCAAGCCUGGAGGGAAAGCCCGGGGCCCAACCCCGGGACAGCUCUGGAAACUGUCCGGCUGGAGGGCGUGAGGGGCAGGCGGAAUGCCUGGUGUUGCGGUGAAAUGCGUAGAUAUCAGGAGGAACACCGGCGGCGAAGGCGGCCUGCUGGACCGCGACUGACGUUGAGGCUCGAAAGCGUGGGGAGCGAACAGGAUUAGAUACCCUUGUAGUC
Molecule: ribosomal RNA, 441 nt
Filed under: uncultured bacterium
Lineage: Bacteria
Description: partial 16S ribosomal RNA
Rfam family: Bacterial small subunit ribosomal RNA
Source: RNAcentral